UACAUGGGGUGCAAACGUUGCUCGGAAUCAUUGGGCGUAAAGCGCGCGUAGGCGGUUGCUUAUGUCGGAUGUGAAAGCCCUCGGCUUAACUGAGGAAGUGCAUCCGAAACUGGGCAGCUAGAGUACGAAAGAGGGUCGCGGAAUUCCCGGUGUAGAGGUGAAAUUCGUAGAUAUCGGGAGGAACACCGAUGGCGAAGGCAAUCCCCUGGGCCUGCACUGACGCUCAUGCACGAAAGCGUGGGGAGCAAACAGG
RNAcentral lists this ribosomal RNA (253 nucleotides) under uncultured bacterium. RNAcentral describes it as "partial 16S ribosomal RNA". It matches the Rfam family "Bacterial small subunit ribosomal RNA", at positions 524 to 776 of the family's 1533-position model. The record is from RNAcentral.